AAAAGGCGGUACUCUCCAAGGAAUCUUCGGGUUCAGGAGUGGGAUGCAGUGGCUGGGCGACCGGCUUACUGUAUCUGCGGAGUACCUAACCCAGACCUAACUAACGUUAGACAAAAAGCAGUUGUAGGGACUGCCUCCAUUAAAUGAACCCCUUAUUUUUGAGUUGAAUUCAAACAGAAUUUUUAUACUUUUACAGCUGAGUCUUGAGUGUUUGUAUUAAUUAAAAUAAGUGGACACGCAAUAGUAAGUACAUCUAAAUGGGAGAGAUAUUGUUUUU
Molecule: non-coding RNA, 277 nt
Filed under: Ectemnius continuus
Lineage: Eukaryota; Metazoa; Arthropoda; Insecta; Hymenoptera; Crabronidae
Source: RNAcentral